Long non-coding RNA from Bombus terrestris (buff-tailed bumblebee), 3112 nucleotides. RefSeq lists it as uncharacterized. The record is from RefSeq and is a predicted model, not a curated record. The transcript has 3 exons. NCBI's taxonomy places the organism in Eukaryota, Metazoa, Arthropoda, Insecta, Hymenoptera, Apidae.
AGGAGGAGAAGGAGGAGAAGCGCCCCAAAAGGCAGACGUGCCUGGCAUCGACGAGGCCAGAGGCGCACCACCGCUGCCUCGAUCUCCGUAUCUCGGUAGAUCGACGCCUAAUGCCGCGGACACGGCACACGGCGAGGGAGAGAGAACGAGAGGGUGGCAGGCAGGCAGGCAAGCAGGGUAGGUGGGAGAGAAAUAGACAGGCGGUAGGAUGGGCGACGGGAGAAGGGAAGGCAAAGGGGAGAAGACCAGGGAGGAGGGCUUAUAUGGGGCCAGCCGCGGGAAUAUCCUUCGUCGUUCUGCGAAUUAAUCGCGCGACCCUCCGCCUCGACCGCCCUCCUCCUUCCCCCGCCACCCCCUCCUCCACCUCUCUAUCCUCGACAUCGUGCUCCGGCUCGCUCGACCUUUCCAUCAACCUUCUAUCCUCUUUGUGCGCCGCGCCACGAAUACCGACAAGCGAUCCGUGAUUCGUCCUUAUACCCCUCACCGACGAGCAGGAUGUUGGCAUCUUCGGCUGAAAGUCCGACCCAGAGAAACCCAGUGUCACGCGAACCCCGCGCGUACGACUCGCUGCUGCUUCUCUUCGGAAAGAGGAAUUUCUAUCGCCCUGCCGUGUCCGUCGAGAGUCCAGCUCGACUUCCGUUCCAUCCUAUGGACCCGUUGCCUCGGCACGAAGGCUAAAAAUCGAGACCAGAGCUGCCUCUGGCCGAGAGAGUCCGUCCCGGAGUCUGGACCCUUUCUCGACGGCGCAAAAGAAGGAGAGCUCGUACUGCUUCGUGGCAAAAGGGUUCGAAAAAGGUCGAGAAGAAGGCAGACCGGGGUAUAGAGAAGGAACGAGAAGAAGGGUGGCGGACGAGGUGGACGAGGAGGAGGAUGAGGAUGAAGGGGGCGAGAGGGGGGAAGGAAAGAAAGAUCCCCGCGGAACAGGGGCGAACCGGGAUGUCGUGGAAGUACCGGCGAAGGGACAGGAAGAGGGCGAGGAGGGAACGGUUCGUCCGUGGACGAGAAGGCUCGAUGCCGGAUUUUUCCAGCAGGGCCACGGUAGAAUGGAUGUGGGUAUAAUGGAGGCGAGCACCGUGCCUUCGUUGCCCGAUAAAAACUGCCGAUGGAAAGAGGACGUCGACGAGGGGGACGGUGGCCGGAUCAGCAGGGGGGAGGGGGAAAGAAGAGCAGCGACGCGAGUGGAAAGAGAGGGCUAGUGGAUAGAGAUAGAGGAACCUGUGAAUGAUUCUGAAGGGGUCGUUUCGUGGUGGCGCGUUUGGGGUUAGUGACCCGUAUAGCAGGUACGAAUCAUUGCCCGUCGAUUACGUCAUACAGAAGCGCCAUAUAACGCAUUACACCAGGCUACCGUGGAAACCCGUCUAACCGUUCGACUUUAAUCAACGAUACAAACUACACAAGUCAAUCUCCGUAUCAUCCCUAUCGAUGUAUCGCAACCAUAAAGAAAUUUCAUUCCUACAGAAUUACAUUAACCUGUUGUUGCUUUACGAAUUCUUCGCAGCAACUUGUAUAAGCGUUAACUGUUCGUUGUUCCUGAAAUCGAAGAACUCGUAACGUUGCCUCUUUCCGGAAGAGCAAACGUUUCAACUUUUUUAACCUUUUGAACAAGCCAACAUAUAUAAAUCCUUUCUCGAAAUAUAGAUUCCAUCCUGUCGCGAAGUCUCUCAGUUAGGCAUCGUUAAAGAUAUAAUUUGUCUUGUUAAUAUAACUAGGUAUUACGAAGCGAGGGGUUAAAAACAACAUUAACGAAAGCGAUGGUUAACGAAACAAAGACGAUGAAAGAAACAAGACUAAGAAGAGAGAAAACCUUCGAUCUAAAAAUACCAGCUAAAAAUACGAUCUAUCUCUAUAAAAUAAAAUAGUAACCCUAACCUACCUGGAAUUUAACUGAACAUUAUACAAUUAUGAGUUUCGAAUUCUAUCGGAAUGAUUAACGAAACAAAGAAGAAGACGUAAUAAAGCUGAAAGCAGAGAACGAGCGUGCCUUCGAUAAUCCGCAACUGCGGUCUCCUCGCGAUCUAAAUCAGUAGAGGAACGUUUCUCUAGGAACGUUUGGCGCGGUGUCGAGCAAGAGCGUCGGGAGUCGGGAGUUCGAUCCUAAAAGCGGUGGCGAGCGAGUGGGCUGGCAGGCGAGAGCGGGGUGCUUGGCCCUGGCAGCGAGAUCGCGGCACAGAAACGCGUUCGCCUCGAAGGAACGCCGUCGCGUUCGUCGUAUAUAAGGUCCGUAUAUACUCGCGUGUGUCGGUAUGUGUUCGUGUGUCCACGGUAGUAUAUCGCUGCGCGCGAUCCGCUCUCGCGCACACCACACCGCGAUCCAUCCGGCGAUUUCGUCGUUUCGAGCUGCUUCCGGCGCUGAUACGAGGAUUUUCGAGGAGAAGCAGAGCCAAGCCUCGUACUCGUGUGUAAUGCCGCUGCGAGUUGGUGUUGGCGCGGGCGCGCGCGCAAUUACGUCAGCCGCGUAACGUCGUGCAAACCGAUCGCGGCGCGCUUUUAGCGCGCGUGUUUCGUAAGCGCGAAAGAUCGCAGCGUCACGCCACGGCCUUAGACGUUCGUUCACGUAUCAGGCCGGCGAGCGUGUCCUUAUACAUAGAACGGCAAAGGACGCGAGUUUCUCGCACGGCCGGUGUUCGAGGCCGAUCAGGCUCAACCGAUCGUAGCCCGCUUCUUAAUUAUCGAUUCGUCCGUUGUAUAGAGCAUAGAGUAUAGACUAUAGGGAUACUGCGCAGCUAAUUUCGUUGUUACUAUUAUUGUACGUAUCGUUGCUAUUAUUAUAGAACUUUUAUUAAAUUUCAAAUGACAAGGUGUUUGGAGAUAGUUAAAGAACAACGAUAAUAGACAAAGGCAGGGUACAGCCGAGGGCUGCUUUGCAACCUAACCUUGUGUUUAUGUAAGUGGGGAAUUUAGCGUUGCAUAGCGUGUACGCUCGUUGAACUAGUACAUACUCGGUAUGACAAAUAUCGGGGUGUCCGCGACGAUGCCAUGAAUUUCGAGACUUUUGUUCCGUCACAGUUAAAGAUAAAUAUGUCGCUGCAAUUAACCUAUAGAACACUUCCUAACAAAGAUGUGUGUCGAUAAUGUAAAAAUAGCUGGAAAUAAAGUAACCAUAGCUACGCAA